UAUUAUGUUGGUGCAAAAGUAAUUGCGGUUUUUGCCAUUUAAGAGUAAUAGCAAAAGCCGCAAUUACUUUUGCACCAACUCAAUA
This is a microRNA precursor of Colobus angolensis palliatus, 85 nucleotides long. The record is from Ensembl. Lineage: Eukaryota; Metazoa; Chordata; Mammalia; Primates; Cercopithecidae.